RNAcentral lists this ribosomal RNA (150 nucleotides) under Planococcus sp. ISL-110. RNAcentral describes it as "partial 16S ribosomal RNA". It matches the Rfam family "Bacterial small subunit ribosomal RNA", at positions 1 to 147 of the family's 1533-position model. Lineage: Bacteria; Bacillati; Bacillota; Bacilli; Caryophanales; Caryophanaceae. The record is from RNAcentral.
AUAAUGGAGAGUUUGAUCCUGGCUCAGGACGAACGCUGGCGGCGUGCCUAAUACAUGCAAGUCGAGCGGAACCAUUGGAGCUUGCUCCUUUGGUUUAGCGGCGGACGGGUGAGUAACACGUGGGCAACCUGCCUUGCAGAGCGGGAUAAC